UAGGGAAUAUUGCACAAUGGACGAAAGUCUGAUGCAGCGACGCCGCGUGAGUGAUGAAGGCCUUCGGGUCGUAAAACUCUGUGAUAUGGGAAGAUGAUGACGGUACCAUAUCAGAAAGGACCGGCUAACUUCGUGCCAGCAGCCGCGGUAAUACGAGGGGUCCAAGCGUUGUUCGGAAUCACUGGGCGUAAAGCGGGUGUAGGUGGCUAGGCAAGUUAGGUGUGAAAGCCCCGGGCUCAACCCGGGAAGUGCACCUAAAACUACUUAGCUUGAGUAAGGAAGAGGAUAGGAGAAUUCUUGGUGUAGUGGUGAAAUACGUAGAUAUCAAGAGGAACACCGAUGGCGAAGGCAAUCCCCUGGACCUGUACUGACGCUCAUGCACGAAAGCGUGGGGAGCAAACA
This 402-nucleotide ribosomal RNA is filed under the name uncultured bacterium. RNAcentral describes it as "bacterial SSU rRNA". It matches the Rfam family "Bacterial small subunit ribosomal RNA", at positions 355 to 774 of the family's 1533-position model. The record is from RNAcentral.